Paramuricea clavata is the source of this 203-nucleotide non-coding RNA. The record is from the annotation of a GenBank genome assembly. NCBI's taxonomy places the organism in Eukaryota, Metazoa, Cnidaria, Anthozoa, Malacalcyonacea, Plexauridae.
CCAAGACCAAUUUGAUCAGUUAAUGUGUUUUUUAUGCAUAGUGCUUCAGCAGUUGACAUAUAUAGAGCUCAGCGGAAACAUAUAAAUUAUAGCAUCUGACCAAUGAGAAUUUCGCGUCACGAUUUGAGACGCAGAUAUUCAAAUUCAUUGGUCAUCGAUGCAGGUUCUCAAUUCAGCUUGAGAGCCUGUUCGCAGGCUAAGUU